Tachysurus fulvidraco (yellow catfish) is the source of this 3229-nucleotide long non-coding RNA. RefSeq lists it as uncharacterized. Lineage: Eukaryota; Metazoa; Chordata; Actinopteri; Siluriformes; Bagridae. The transcript is spliced from 3 exons. The record is from RefSeq and is a predicted model, not a curated record.
CGAGCUUGUUGUUCCUUCACUACUAGACUCCAGCGCAGGUAUAAAAGGUCACUCUUGCCCGGUAGCGGACUUUCCUCCAGCAUCGCCAUGUUCACCUGUAAUCCAGGAGCCUCAGGCGGUAACGUCUUCAUCCAGUAUGGGCAGUUUGACUGAAAGUGCUGGUACAAUGCGAUACACUCUAGAGAGGAAGACAAACUCCACAAUCAAGGAGACCAGAUUCCAGCCCAGGAUAAAGCCACAUCCCACCACAUUUGAGGCAAGGGUCAUAACCUGACCCACAGCCAGUGGAGCCAAAAUGUUGAUCACUUGGUCUAUACGUCGCAUGGUGGCAUUCAUCCCUACAGCGGCAUUAGAGCAAUUUUCUUUGUGGCCACGAUUGUAACCGGUUAUGACCACUAUCCAGUCUCUGUGGAUGGCAAUGUUAAGGGCCGUGCUGGCGAGAUUCGCCACAUCUGCUAGGACGAUCACCACCGUAUAACAAACCACCUUGUGUGAGUCACGUGAUGCAACAUGUUACAUGCAUUAGGAUUAUAUGUAGUUCUGUAGUAUAUUUCUGUUAUGUAGUAGCAUAGAAAAUGCAUCAGUAUUAACACAGUGUGUAUGAAUCAGAAAAGUAACAGUUACUCACAGUUAACCAACCGUCCCAGAUUUGCUCAAUCCAGUUUUUAUAUGAGAAUAUCAACAUAAGAAUGAUACUACAGACUGUCACUGAGAUGUUCUGAAUAAACAAGGAUGCAUGAGCCACUGCAGUAGAGAACAUAGAAGACUGUUUCAGAGCUUAAAUAAACAGCAAUACAUACAAUCUUUAGUAACCCCUGACAUUUAAAUGAAGCACAAGCAUAUAUUACACAAUAGUUAAUCUAAAAAAAGAGCAAGAAAUUGUUGGUGCAUAAGUAUUUACCCCCUGAGAUCAAUAGGUGGAUGAAUAACCUUUAUCUGCAUUUACAGCUACAAGAUUUCUGGGAUAUGGGUCUGUCACACAUAUUUGCAUAUCUAUAUUUUCUAUAUAUCUAUAACAAAUUUGUCUCGUGACCACUGAUGCUUUGGCAGACCUAAGACAGGUUCUUGUUUUUGAACUCCAGCAUAGCUUUGGUAUUAUUCCUGGAGUUAUUUUUUAUCUUGUUGGAAAUGAAACUAUUCCCCAGUCUUAAUUGUAUUGCAGACUGCAGAGUUUUUCUUCCCAGAUUGCCCAGUGUUUGGAUUGAUCCCCCUUACCCACAAACCUGACCAGUUUUGCAGGCCCUGCUGAGGAAUUAUAUCCACACAAAAUGAUGCCACCAAUGCUUCAUUGAUGAGGUUUAUAUUCUCAGAGUGUUGGCUUAUGUAGUGCUUUGUGCCAAGGUCAUAUAAAAUGUUGGUGUUAUCAGAGCCUAUAACUUUUUCAGGAGAACAGCUUUUUUGGGGGGCUUUGGUCCAAUAUAUGUUUUUUCCAUCUCCCUGGCAUUUUGGUUACUUAUCUGACCAAUGAUACUGGUACAAUUCCACUCAUUUUUAGUGGACUGCAUCCUUUGGUUGUGCCAUAUUCUAUAUAUUUUUAACAAUGGAAUUCAUAGUGCUCUUUGGGAUGUUUAAUGUUUUAUGUUUUCUUAUUUUCACACUUUUUUCACACUUUAUCCCUUUAUCUUUAUGAUGCUGAUUGUUCUCUAAUAAACUCGGGUGCCUUUAAGGAACAGGUGUGCUUAUAUUGUGAUCAUGUGACAUUUUAAUUGCACACAGGUUCUAAUUAAUUAUGUUCUAUGUUCUCUGUUCUCAUGACUCUCUUUAAAUAAUUAGGUAACUUUUACUGGCAGCUGAUUCGAACAGGGGAAUACUUAUGCAAGGCACAGUGCUUUGUGACUGAAUCUUCAAACUAUAAUGACACAGAACAGCACACCCAACAAAUAUACUACCUUUGUUUCUUGGGUUACGGUCCACCCAGUCUCCAAUAAGAGCACCUAAUAAAAGCACAGAACCAGCCACCACUAAUCCAAAGAUGGCAGUUAGCAGUAAGUUAUGUCCAUACAACUCAAUCAGAAAGACUGAGAUGGCAAAGUGCCACAUACGAUCACCCUGGCAUGGAAGCAGAGAAACACAUCCAGUGAAAUAUUGACAAAUGCAGCAGAGAAAAAUGACAAACACAGCAGAGAAUAAACUCUGAUUAUUUCUAUUUAACAUGGCUUCUUACCCACAUUGACAAUGCUCCACUGACAUAUAUGAGGAACUUGGGGCCUGUGAGGUAGCUAAGCGCUGAUCCUGAGAGACAGGGAGUUUGAUUUUGUUUAAUAUGAUAAAAUAUCUUGCAGUCUUAUUCAGUUAUUUAUCUAAAAGUAUAUAAUUUGUGAACCUAACUGGAAAAGUAUGUCAUUAAAAGAGUAAUGUAAUUCUAGACUCGCCUAUAAUAGUUAAUAGUCUCGGGGGUUUAAUAUUUGAAGUAUUCAUUCAAUCAUUAUUCAGUAGGGUCACAGUGCAUGUGUAAUACACAGCAGAUAGGACAGAUGUCCAUCAUAGGACACUGUGUACCAUUAUAGGACAGCAUUAUAGGACUGCCUACUAGCAUAGAUUUUGUGUGGUGUAUUUCGAGAAACCCAAGCAAUGCACAUAAAACUCUGAGUAAUCUGAGUAAUAUCAAUGCAUGAAGAAAACAACUAUACUCUUGUGUUUGGCUGGUUGAAUUUUUCUCACCUGAUUUACCACUGCUUUUCUUUUCCCUUGACUCUUUGAUGUCAUUGUUCUCAUUUUCCCCCAUAUAACCGCCACACUGAGAGGAAUCUGCCCUCAAAGACAUGCUACAGAAGACAAAUACAGCUUUUAAACUGGCAGUGCAUAAACCAUACCCUGUAUUGAGCAUGUGUGUUGUGUGUGUUAUUAUUUUUAUUUUAAAAAAGUGCUGAUAUAAAUGAGUUAAUACAAGUAAUCCUUUUGUAGCUAGUAUUCUGUAUAUUUCAAUGUAUCUACAGGAUAUCUGUAGUGAAGUGUAAAGCAUUAAGGGAAAAAAUCCACAUAAGCCAAAUAAUCAACACUUGUAUUAACCAACAUUUAUAUCAUCAAUUACUAAAGGAGUAAAAUUGUCUACAACGGCAACACAUUAACCAACAUGCUUACAGUUGUUGAAUGACAAAAACCUUUCGUUUAGUUUAGUCAAAUAUUAGUAACAUGCUGGAAUUAAUGUUUUGCUAUUUUGUGUUUUUGGUUGAAUUAUUUUUAUGGAUGGUGGUGCAUUAAGUGUGGCAAAUAAACAAAUGUAAAUUCA